GGAUAACUUACCCUUAGGACUGGGAUAACUCUGGGAAACUGGGGAUAAUACUGGAUAUUGGGCUAUGCCUGGAAUGGUUUGCCUUUGAAAUGUUUUUUCGCCUAAGGAUAGGUCUGCGGCUGAUUAGGUCGUUGGUGGGGUAAUGGCCCACCAAGCCGAUGAUCGGUACGGGUUGUGAGAGCAAGGGCCCGGAGAUGGAACCUGAGGCAAGGUUCCAGACCCUACGGGGUGCAGCAGGCGCGAAACCUCCGCAAUGUACGAAAGUGCGACGGGGGGAUCCCAAGUGUUAUGCUUUUUUGUAUGACUUUUCAUUAGUGUAAAAAGCUUUUAGAAUAAGAGCUGGGCAAGACCGGUGCCAGCCGCCGCGGUAACACCGGCAGCUCGAGUGGUAGCUGUUUUUAUUGGGCCUAAAGCGUUCGUAGCCGGUUUGAUAAGUCUUUGGUGAAAGCUUGUAGCUUAACUAUAAGAAUUGCUGGAGAUACUAUUAGACUUGAAGUCGGGAGAGGUUAGAGGUACUACCGGGGUAGGGGUGAAAUCCUAUAAU
This 544-nucleotide ribosomal RNA is filed under the name uncultured archaeon. RNAcentral describes it as "bacterial SSU rRNA". It matches the Rfam family "Archaeal small subunit ribosomal RNA", at positions 102 to 646 of the family's 1478-position model. The record is from RNAcentral.